RNAcentral lists this ribosomal RNA (372 nucleotides) under Triticum aestivum (bread wheat). RNAcentral describes it as "partial small subunit ribosomal RNA". The record is from RNAcentral. Lineage: Eukaryota; Viridiplantae; Streptophyta; Magnoliopsida; Poales; Poaceae.
AUGAAAUGCAUACGAGAUAUGCAGAAAGAGAUACGUCUAAUUCCUGAGAAAUGUGCUAAGAUAUUGCUCGAGAAGCUAAGUAAGAAGGGUUUGCUGGUGAAGCGAAGUGGGGACUUCCGUGAUGAGCGCGCUUAUGAGGACGAAAGUGAUGAGUGGGUGACAAAGUACAAGCCAAAGUAUCAUACGGAAGUUACUUCAUCUCCUUUGGAAGAACGCGCGGAGGAGAAGAUGGAUGCAUCCUUCACGGGUCCAAAUGGUACGAACUUUCCCAAUGACAAAGGCAUGCAGUCCAGUACACCCGAUAAAGGUGAUGAAAACGACCCCUUUAUUAUUGAGGACAAUGGUUCACCAGGGAAGCAUCACCAUCAUUAG